UACGUAGGGGGCAAGCGUUGUCCGGAAUCAUUGGGCGUAAAGCGCGUGUAGGCGGCCUGAUAAGUCCGCUGUGAAAGUCCAGGGCUCAACCCUGGGAUGCCGGUGGAUACUGUCGGGCUCGAGUCCGGAAGAGGCGAGUGGAAUUCCUGGUGUAGCGGUGAAAUGCGCAGAUAUCAGGAGGAACACCAAUGGCGAAGGCAGCUCGCUGGGACGUGACUGACGCUGAGACGCGAAAGCGUGGGGAGCAAACAGG
This 253-nucleotide ribosomal RNA is filed under the name uncultured bacterium. RNAcentral's name for it is "partial 16S ribosomal RNA". It matches the Rfam family "Bacterial small subunit ribosomal RNA", at positions 524 to 776 of the family's 1533-position model. The record is from RNAcentral.